RNAcentral lists this ribosomal RNA (451 nucleotides) under uncultured bacterium. RNAcentral describes it as "partial 16S ribosomal RNA". It matches the Rfam family "Bacterial small subunit ribosomal RNA", at positions 29 to 523 of the family's 1533-position model. The record is from RNAcentral.
AACGAACGCUGGCGGCAGGCUUAACACAUGCAAGUCGAACGGGCGUAGCAAUACGUCAGUGGCAGACGGGUGAGUAACACGUGGGAAUAUCCCUCUCAGUUCGGAAUAACUCAGGGAAACUUGAGCUAAUACCGGAUACGUCCUUCGGGAGCAAGAUUUAUCGCUGAGAGAUUAGCCCGCGUCUGAUUAGCUAGUUGGUGAGCUAAUGUCUCACCAAGGCGACGAUCAGUAACUUGUCUGAGAGGAUGAUCAGCCACACUGGGACUGAGACACGGCCCAGACUCCUACGGGAGGCAGCAGUGGGGAAUAUUGGACAAUGGGGGCAACCCUGAUCCAGCCAUGCCGCGUGAGUGAUGAAGGCCUUAGGGUUGUAAAGCUCUUUUGCCAGGGAAGAUAAUGACUGUACCUGGAGAAUAAGCCCCGGCUAACUUCGUGCCAGCAGCCGCAGUAA